RNAcentral lists this ribosomal RNA (465 nucleotides) under uncultured bacterium. Its description in RNAcentral is "partial 16S ribosomal RNA". It matches the Rfam family "Bacterial small subunit ribosomal RNA", at positions 28 to 507 of the family's 1533-position model. The record is from RNAcentral.
GACGAACGCUGGCGGCGUGCUUAACACAUGCAAGUCGAACGGAAAGGCCCCUUUGGGGGUACUCGAGUGGCGAACGGGUGAGUAACACGUGAGUAACCUGCCCUUGACUUCGGGAUAACUUCAGGAAACUGGGGCUAAUACCGGAUAGGAAUCCUUGCUGCAUGGUGGGGGUUGGAAAGCUUCGGCGGUUUUGGAUGGACUCGCGGCUUAUCAGCUUGUUGGUGGGGUAGUGGCUUACCAAGGCUUUGACGGGUAGCCGGCCUGAGAGGGCGACCGGCCACAUUGGGACUGAGAUACGGCCCAGACUCCUACGGGAGGAAGCAGUGGGGAAUAUUGCACAAUGGGCGGAAGCCUGAUGCAGCAACGCCGCGUGCGGGAUGACCGCCUUCGGGUUGAAGACCGCUUUCAGCAGGGGCGAAGCUUGUGGUGACGGUACCUGCAGAAGAAGCACCGGCUAACUACGUG